CCUACGGGAGGCAGCAGUGGGGAAUAUUGCACAAUGGGCGAAACCCUGAUGCAGCCACGCCGCGUGAAGGAAGAAGUCUUUCGGUAUGUAAACUUCUUUCAGCAGGGAAGAAAAUGACGGUACCUGUCUAAGUAGCCCCGGCUAACUACGUGCCAGCAGCCGCGGUAAUACGCAGGGGGCAAGCGUUAUCCGGAUUUACUGGGUGUAAAGGGAGCGUAGGCGGCGCUGCAAGUCAGAAGUGAAAGCCCGGGGCUCAACUCCGGGACUGCUUUUGAAACUGUAUGGCUAGAGUGCAGGAGAGGCAAGUGGAAUUCCUAGUGUAGCGGUGAAAUGCGUAGAUAUUAGUAGGAACACCAGUGGCGAAGGCGGCUUGCUGGACUGUAAAUGACGCUGAGGCUCGAAAGCGUGGGGAGCAAACAGGAUUAGAUACCCUGGUAGUC
RNAcentral lists this ribosomal RNA (440 nucleotides) under uncultured bacterium. Its description in RNAcentral is "partial 16S ribosomal RNA". It matches the Rfam family "Bacterial small subunit ribosomal RNA", at positions 338 to 795 of the family's 1533-position model. The record is from RNAcentral.